Anopheles merus is the source of this 2071-nucleotide long non-coding RNA. RefSeq lists it as uncharacterized. The record is from RefSeq and is a predicted model, not a curated record. NCBI's taxonomy places the organism in Eukaryota, Metazoa, Arthropoda, Insecta, Diptera, Culicidae. The transcript is spliced from 7 exons.
GGAAAGAAAGGCUCGAUCUCCCUCUUCUGGGACUUAGCGUUCUGAGCAUGCGGUUUUUGCAACGGCCAUUUCGUGCCGCUUCGAUCUCAUCAACUUCUCUCCUCUCCCACCCCCCUUUUUGAUCCACACUUUGGGGCUUGCAAAUUUUUGACAUGUCAAAUGAGAGUGAAGUCAAAAUGUAAACCGUAAGUGUUUGCGUGUGCGGUGACCUUAUUAAACAUAAAACUAACCACGACAGUAUUAUUUAGUUGUAGCGGAAGCCAAAAAAAUAGCUUGGAGCAUUCAAUAAAGCAGGAUGAAAUUUUUAACCUUCACGCACGACGCUGACGCUGAGGUAAGGUGUGCUUGUGUUUAAUUUCGAUGAUUGUUUCAUUUUAGGAUGUGAUUUGUGCCAUAUAACCUUUUCUGGCGGGGAUUCUUUAGUCGGCAUCGUCUGCAGCUGUUAAGCGGUGCAGAGGAAGGGGCUCGCUACGACCCUUCCCACACCCGGACGCUUUUUCCGGGGAUGAAGGAAAUGUUCCCGGCUAUAUGCGCAAAAUCUAACGGUAACCCGUGUUGUAAACGAAUCGGCAUAAGCGGUGCCGGACACUGUGGAAAUUGUACACAACGGGACGAUGUCCAGGCACGACACAAGAGUACGAUUACAUGCAACUGAUCUGCUCUACGUGCCACCUGAUGCUGGCGUUCGGCAAAACACAGAAGGAAAGGAUUUCGACCUGUGGAACAAGGAUGUGCUGAAUGCGUUACUGAUAGAUAUCACGUAGAUCAUUCUACUGCGACUAUAAGGGAUAGUUGCUGGAUUGUAUUCGUGACAGGGCCGGCCAGAAGGGUGUGGGCAAGUUGACGGAAAUUGUCGUAAUGUACCAUAGCGUUCCGGUGAUGCCAAAAGACGAAGCAGACUUCUCCAGCUACUUAUCCACGCCGAAGGAUGAACGUGCUCAGGGCAGCAAACAACUCGCCGGAGCACGGAGCACGAAAGGCAUCGUACGCGCAAGGCUUCAUUUUGCUGCGCGAAGCGGCCAGCGAGUAAAAGAGGACCCUGAACUACGGUUGCUCCUCGGCAACAUUUGAAUUGUGUUUGUAAACAAUUCGCAUCGUACCAUCCAUCUUAUCAUGCGUAUUCCAUAAAAUUAUUCUGCAGUUAUGAAGCGGCUGACAUUAACUUGUUAUAAGGUUACCAAAACGGAAUUGAUGUAAGGCUUCAUGGCUCAGUAUUUGGCCGAAAACGUACGUACUAGUUCAUUGAGCUAUAUAAAAAACAUCAAACCAGCACGCUGUUGCCUCGAGUCGAGUACAUGCUCCGAUUUAACCAAAUUGUUAUCCCUAAAGUGCAUACCCAUCCUAUGCAGAAAUACGUGCUCAAUGUAUGGCGUAGCUUGCUUGUACUUAAACAUAUACAUCUUUCAGUUGUAUGAGUCCCGUAAAUGGUCGUGCCACUUGAAAACAUACGUCCCCAUUAGACCUCAUCAAUAGAUCAUCUAAUAAACGACGGCGCUGCAUUGAAAGCGGUUCAUGGUAGACCUCAAAACUGGUUAGUACUUGAUAAAAAGGUAAGCAAUUCUACACAAGGACACUCCUGGGAACUACUCGUCGAAGUACCUAAAAUAAUAGGUACAGAUUUGCCGGAAGCCGAACAACUAUUUCGCUAACUAAUAAUGAGCUGGAAUAGGAAAAUACGUAAAUCUGGAACUGAUUUUUAGCUACUCAAAACGACGUCACUUGUCGACGUUAUUGUUUAAUAAAACGCAUGCAAACCAAAUACCUUUGUUGUUUCAUUUUGACAGCAGUUGGAAUGGGUCGAACCCCAUUGUGUGUACUCGCAUCAAUACGGCUACACCGUGACGUCACUGAGCGCCUGUUCAUAUUGGGCUUGUUCUCUGAGUGACGUUUAUACCAAUAAGCCCAGAACAAGCCGAGAACAAGCCCAAGAAAUUUUCCCCUGAUGAGUGUCCCCGAGCCUCCUCGUGUGGUUGUUGUUGUUGGAAGUUGAAGCCGAAACCCCCUCGUGCGCUCUCCAAAUCAGACGAGGAGCAAAAUCGAGUUUUUUUUUGCUUGGCCGAAGCGAACGAGA